GAUCAAGCUACUAAGUGCAACAGGUGGAUGCCUUGGUGCCAAGAGGCGAUGAAGGACGCAACAAGCUGCGAUAAGCUACGGUUAGCCGCAAGUAGGCCUUGACCCGUGGAUUUCCGAAUGGAGCAAUCCAAUCCCAGUUAUGUGGGAUUAUCACUGGAUGAAUUCAUAGUCCAGUGAAGCGAUACGGGGUGAAGUGAAACAUCUCAGUAACCCCAGGAAAAGAAAACGAAUGUGAUUCCGUAAGUAGUGGCGAGCGAAAGCGGAACAGGCUAAACCUAGGAAACUUGUUUCCUAGGGGUUGUGGGACCUUAAUGUGGGACACCGAGAGUGAAUAUAAUGUUCUGGAAAGUUCAACCAAAGACCGUGACAGUCGGGUGUGUGAAGCUCAAAGUGCCCUAGAGGUAUCCCAAGUAAUGCGGUGCACGUGAAACUCUGCAUGAAUCUGUCCAGACCACUGGAUAAGCCUAAAUACUCCUUGGCAACCGAUAGUGAACUAGUACCGUGAGGGAAAGGUGAAAAGAACCCCUGCUAGGGGAGUGAAAUAGUACCUGAAACCCGUUGCAUACAAAGUUUCGAAGCCCCCUUGUGGGGUGACGGAGUGCCUUUUGCAUAAUGAGUCUGCGAGUUGUUGUCUGUGGCAAGCCUAAGUCCUUAUGGGAUGGAGGCGAAGGGAAACCGAGUGUGAAAUGCGCGAUUUAGUCGCAGGCAAUAGACCCGAAGCGGAGGUGAUCUAUUCAUGAGCAGGUUGAAGCAGCGGUAAUACGCUGUGAAGGACCGAACCGGUGUACGUUGAAAAGUGCUCGGAUGACUUGUGAAUAGGAGCGAAAGACUAAUCAAACCCCGUGAUAGCUGGUUCUCUCCGAAAUAGAUUGAGGUCUAGCGUCAGAUGCUGACUUACGGAGGUAGAGCACUGGAUGGCUUAGGGCCCACACCAGGGUACCAAAACCAAUCAAACUCCGAAUGCCGUAAGGUGUAAUCUGGCAGUGAGUCUGUGGGGGAUAAGCUUCACAGGCGAGAGGGAAACAUCCCAGACCGUCGGCUAAGGUGCCGAAAUAUGAUUAAGUGGAAAGGAUGUGAUGUUACUUAGACAGUGAGGAUGUUGGCUUAGAGGCAGCCACCAUUUAAACAGUGCGUAAUAGCUGACUCAUCGAGUGAUAUCGCGCCGAAAAUGAUUGGCGAUUAAAUCAUAUACCGAAGCCACGGACCCCGUUAUGCGGGGUGGUAGGAGAGCAUAAUCAGUGCUGCGAAGCUGGACUGUAAAGGAAAGUGGAGCGCUGAUUAGUGAGAAUGCAGACAUGAGUAGCGAUAAGCCAGAUGAGAAUUCUGGCCGCCGUAAACCCAAGGUUUCCUGGGGCAGGUUCGUCCGCCCAGGGUUAGUCGGGAGCUAAGACGAGGCCGUAGGGCGUAGUCGAUGCACAGCAGUUUAAUAUUCCUGCACCGGCAAGGGUUAAGGUAACAAGGGACGUGAAUAAAAAAGUGACUAAGUCAUCGAAAGACAGAGCCUAGCCUUCGGGCGAAGCGCAUCACCGGACUAUUGACCGAGAAAAGCUUGUUAUUGUUCCCCUGGCCGCCCGUACCGUAAACCGACACAGGUGGGUGAGUGUAAAUGCACUAAGGCGCGCGAGAUAAACCUCUCUAAGGAACUCGGCAAAAUAGCCCCGUAACUUCGGGAGAAGGGGUACCCCACGCAAGUGGGGUCACAGUAAAUUGGGUUUGGCGACUGUUUACCAAAAACACAGCACUCUGCUAAGUCGUGAAGACGACGUAUAGGGUGUGACACGUGACCAAUGCGACAAGAUUAAGGUGACUUGUUAGCCCUUGAGGCGAAGCUCGGAGCCGAAGUCCUCGUGAAUGUCGGCCGUAACUAUAACGGUCCUAAGGUAGCGAAAUUCCUUGUCGGGUAAGUUCCGACCUGCACGAAUCGUGUAACGACCGAACCGCUGUCUCGGAGAGGUUCUCGGCGAAAUUGUAGUGGCGGUGAAGAUGCCGCCUACCCGCGGUAGGACGGAAAGACCCUAUGCACCUUUACUAUAAGCUGGUAUUGGGUUCUGAUUCUUAAUGCGUAGCAUAGGUGGGAGACUUUGAAACGAUGGCUUCGGUUGUCGUGGAGUCGCCAGUGAAAUACCACUCUUUAUUAAUUAGGAUUCUAACCCCGAUCCUGUGAAGCCAGGCGGGGAACAGUGCCUGCGGGUUAGUUUGACUGGGGCGGUUUCCUCCCAAAGAGUAACGGAGGAGCGCGAAGGUACUCUCAGCACGGUUGGCAAUCGUGCGUCGAGCGCAUCGGUAGAAGAGUGCUUAACUGUGAGACACACACGUCGAGCAGAUGCGAAAGCAGGCCGAAGUGAUCCGAUAGUAGAAUGUGGAAUUGCUAUCGCUCAACGGACAAAAGGUACGCUAGGGAUAACAGGCUGAUCGCGCCCAAGAGUUCAUAUCGACGGCGCGGUUUGGCACCUCGAUGUCGGCUCGUCACAUCCUGGGGCUGGAGAAGGUCCCAAGGGUUCGGCUGUUCGCCGAUUAAAGUGGCACGCGAGCUGGGUUCAGAACGUCGUGAGACAGUUCGGUCCUUAUCCACCGUGGGCGUAGGAAACUUGAGGGGUUCAUUCCUUAGUACGAGAGGACCGGGAAUGACGCACUUCUGGUGUGGCAGUUGUUCCGUCAGGAGCAGCGCUGCGUAGCCAUGUGCGGACGAGAUAAGCGCUGAAAGCAUCUAAGUGCCAAGCUCUUCCCAAGAUAAGGUUUCCCUGAAGACCCCAGGUAGACUACCUGGUUGAUAGGUCAGGCGUGUAAGUGUGGCAACAUAUUUAGCGGACUGAUACUAAUCGGUCGUUCGGCUUGAUCGC
This 2840-nucleotide ribosomal RNA is filed under the name Verrucomicrobiota bacterium. Its description in RNAcentral is "Verrucomicrobia bacterium 23S ribosomal RNA". It matches the Rfam family "Bacterial large subunit ribosomal RNA". The record is from RNAcentral. Lineage: Bacteria; Pseudomonadati; Verrucomicrobiota.